Molecule: long non-coding RNA, 762 nt
Organism: Nicotiana tabacum (common tobacco)
Lineage: Eukaryota; Viridiplantae; Streptophyta; Magnoliopsida; Solanales; Solanaceae
Source: RefSeq, a predicted model, not a curated record
UAAACUUGACCCCAACCUAACUCAACCACUUUAAUGGCUACGUGCAACCCUAUCUUCUUUUCUUCUCGUAUAAGUUCUCCCCGAUUAAGACCUUCCUUGUCCUCAAGGAAGGAAUGUGGGAAAACAAAUCUUUAGAGCUUGAUAGCCUUCCCAAGUUGCGAGAUCUGAUGAUAACUUGUCCCAUCGAAUCUUUAGAGCAAUUGCCUUGUUCCCCUUUUGAAUCAUAGGUCUAUCCAAAAUUUUGUGUGCUGAGGGUAGUAAGGACUUGGUAGUUCUAGCACUGGUGGAUGAGAGAUGGUAUCUAGUAACUCGUAACAUCGCUUGAGCUGAGACACGUGAAAGGUAGGGUGCAACAAUAACUUUGGAUGAAGUGAGAGCUUGUAUGCUACGUGCUCUACCUUUUGCAACACUUGGCUCCUAUCAAAUUCCACUGAGUCAGAAUCACCAGCCAUAUAUAGAAGAUGCAAAGGUGGAGGUUGCCCAUAUAGUGUCUCACAGGGAAUACAUUAUAUUGAAGAGUGAAAUGUGGUGUUAUACUACCAUUGUGUUCAGGUCGAGGCUUUUCUUUUAAGAUCUGGGCAUUCAACUUGUAUAUGAUCAUAUUUUUCACUUUCAUAGCAUUUCCCCAUCGUUCUUUUCUUGUUCGUUGUAUUGUCUUGAUGUUCUUCUGGAGGACAUUCUCUACUUUUUGGUAUUCUCUGUAUCUUUUUGGAAACUAUAGCUAUUUCUUAUUCAAGUUACUCAGCUUCAUUUUUAUUUUCA